AACAUCGCGCACCUGCGGGAACCUGCGGAAGGAUCAUUACCGAGUUAGGGUCUUCCUGGCCCGACCUCCAACCCUUUGUUUACUAUACCCAUGUUGCUUUGGCGGGCCUGCCUUUCGGGGCUGCCGGGGGCAUCACUGCCCUUGACCUGUGCCUGCCAGGAGCCUUCUUUAAAUUUUGUGUUCAACUGUGUUGUCUGAGUCCCAAUAUCAAAAUAUAAAAAACUUUUAACAAUGGAUCUC
Molecule: unclassified non-coding RNA, 240 nt
Filed under: soil metagenome
Description: partial contains 5.8S ribosomal RNA, internal transcribed spacer 2, and large subunit ribosomal RNA
Source: RNAcentral